RNAcentral lists this long non-coding RNA (1465 nucleotides) under Anas platyrhynchos platyrhynchos (common mallard). Its description in RNAcentral is "lncRNA (ENSAPLG00000031191.1)". Lineage: Eukaryota; Metazoa; Chordata; Aves; Anseriformes; Anatidae. The record is from RNAcentral.
UGGUGGUAUUCACAAAACGAUGCCCAAUGUUUUGGUGACCACGUGGACCAGGCACUGACUUUAACCAUGCUCAUGAGGAAGUUUCUGAGAAUGGAAAGCUCAGGGCACCGAGGCUACCCUUCACACAGCCUCCAGCCACGUGAGGGACCACCACUGGGUUCCCAAAACCUCUUUUUGAGGAGAAAACCAUUUCCUUGCACUCUGCUCUGGUGAGCCUGCACCUUGAGCACUGUGCUCAGCUUUGGGCCCCUCACUGCAAGAAGGACAUUGAGGCCCUGGAGCAUAUACAGAGAAGGGCUAGGAAGCUGGUGAAGGGCCUGGACCACAAGUCCUGUGAGGAGCGGCUGAGGGAGCUGGGGGUGCUUGGUCUGGAGGAGGCUCAGGGGAGACCUCAUUGCCCUCUGCAGCUACCUUAAAGGAAGGUGUGGGGUGCUGGGGGUCAGCCUCUUCUCGCAGGUAGCUGGUGAUAGGACUAGAGGGAGCGGCCUCAAGUUGCACCAGGGGAGGUUCAGGCUGGCAAUGAGGAGACAUUUCUGCUCAGGAAGAGCAGUCAGGCCCGGGACAGGUUGCCCAGGGAGGUGGUGGAGUCACCGUCCCUGGGGGUGUUCAAGGAGAGGCUGGACGCGGUGCUUGGGGACACGGUGUAGUGGGUGACACUGGUGGUAAGGGCUGGUUGGAGCAGACGACCUUGGAGCUCUAUCGCUUUAACACUUUAUUUUCACUGAGCUCCCCCAGCCCCACGGCCGUAUUUUUUUAUUUUUAUUUAUUUUUUUUUUUUAAGCGCGCGCCUCCCCGCCCCUCCCCUCCCUCUCUCGCGAUGCCGGGCGCCAUGCCGGAGCCGGGCGGGCGCAGGCCGGGCCCCUCCCCUCGCCGCGCGGCCUCAGCGCCGCGCACUGAGCGUGCGGCGCCGCCCGCAGCCCGGAAGCGCUUCGCGGCCGCUGCUCCAGGCCCCCCCCUUCCCCCUUCCCUUCCCUCCCUCCCCCCCCUCCCCGCUCGGUAGACCCGGAGCGCGCCCCCCGCCCCCCCCGCAACCGCCUCCAGCGGCCGGCGCCUGCCGCCCCCUCCUCUUUUUCCAACGGCCGCCGUGGCGGAGGCCCGGCGGGGCGCCCAGGGGCCGGGCAUGCGGCCGGCGGCGGCGGAGCCGAGCCCCCAGCGCAGCACGUGCAAUGAAGUUUGAGAUGUCAGAAUACAGACUUAACUGCAGUCUACCUCUUUGCUUUUGAAGCCCUUGCUGGAUACAGUAAAUGCUACUUCUGCUUCAGAGAAAUUCCAAGUCAACUAAGUGUUCUACCUGCUAGUCCUUUUUAAGGCUUGGGAGUUGAGGUACACAAGGCUGAAGGGAGCAUUAGGCCUAAGAGACCUGACUCAGAUCAGGUUCUUUAUCUGUCUUUAGAAAAGACCGUCUAUUGUAUUUUAAAGAGAGAGGAGAGAAAAUAAAGGGUCAGCAAAGUUUAGUGUUGAAACA